GCAAAUAUCCCAGCUUCUCUUCUUCUUUCCUCUUGUUAUUCAGAAAAUAAUGUCGUUCUAAUUCCAUCGGCGAGAAAUCGAUUCAAUCAGAAAGUCAAUCUAGGUUGUCUAUUCUUUAGAUGCUCUCUGGUCGUAUGCGUAUUGUUCUAUUAUGUCAUUCUCUGUUGUUAUGUCUUCGUUGGCUUGUGUUCUAAGACCAUAUAUUUCAUCAGCAAGUUAACAAGUCGACUCCAUCUGCAAGCUUUGAGAUGGAUUUCAUCAGCAUGCUAGUUUGGAGAUUUCGAUGUGGUUUAGGGUUGAUCUCGUCUCCCAAAAACUAGUGGGUAAGAUUUCUUUAAAAAUUAUCUUUUUGUUUAAUAGGUUGCAAUUUGGAUUCUCUGGAAUUCCUUUUCGUCUUAAGGGAAUGCGCUUUUUAUUCUAGUUAUAUUUUUCAUUUGUUUGUCAAUUUGACAUUUGUGUGUAAUGUUUAUUACAAGAACUGAAAGUUCUAUAUCGUAUAUACUAUGGAGUUUUAAUGGAACAUACCUUACCCCUACCCUUGGGUAGAGAGUAUGUUUUCAAAUAGACUCCCGGCAUCCUUCCCUCCACGAACUUUCCACUUUGCUCUUAGGGAGAUUCGAACUCACAACCACUCGAUUGGAAGUGAGAGUUGCUUACCAUUAGAGCAACCCCUCUUAUCUCAACUUCCCAC
This 691-nucleotide long non-coding RNA is filed under the name Nicotiana benthamiana. RNAcentral's name for it is "long non-coding RNA (NBEN_LNC041905)". Lineage: Eukaryota; Viridiplantae; Streptophyta; Magnoliopsida; Solanales; Solanaceae. The record is from RNAcentral.